CAGCCGUAAACUAUGCGCGUUAGGUGUACUGGUGACCACGAGUCACCGGGGUGCCGAAGGGAAACCGUGAAACGUGCCGCCUGGGAAGUACGGUCGCAAGGCUGAAGCUUAAAGGAUUGGCGGGGGAGCACCACAACGGGUGGAGCCUGCGGUUUAAUUGGACUCAACGCCGGAAAUCUCACCGGAUAGGACAGACAUAUGAUAGUCGGGCUGAAGACUCUACUUGAUGAUCUGAGAGGAGGGUGCAUGGCGUCAGUGACU
This 261-nucleotide ribosomal RNA is filed under the name uncultured archaeon. Its description in RNAcentral is "partial 16S ribosomal RNA". It matches the Rfam family "Archaeal small subunit ribosomal RNA", at positions 748 to 1008 of the family's 1478-position model. The record is from RNAcentral.